GUGGGGAAUAUUGCACAAUGGGCGCAAGCCUGAUGCAGCGACGCCGCGUGAGGGAUGAAGGCCUUCGGGUCGUAAACCUCUUUCGGCAGGGACGAAGCGAUCAGUGACGGUACCUGCAGAAGAAGCCCCGGCUAACUACGUGCCAGCAGCCGCGGUAAGACGUAGGGGGCGAGCGUUGUCCGGAUUUAUUGGGCGUAAAGCGCGCGUAGGCGGCUGCGCAAGUCGGUUGUGAAAACCCGGGGCUCAACCCCGGAACUGCAUCCGAUACUGCGUGGCUAGAGGUAGGUAGGGGAGAUCGGAAUUCCUGGUGUAGCGGUGAAAUGCGCAGAUAUCAGGAGGAACACCGGUGGCGAAGGCGGAUCUCUGGGCCUUACCUGACGCUCAGGCGCGAAAGCUAGGGGAGCGAACAGGAUUAGAAACCCGGGUAGUCC
RNAcentral lists this ribosomal RNA (431 nucleotides) under uncultured bacterium. RNAcentral describes it as "bacterial SSU rRNA". It matches the Rfam family "Bacterial small subunit ribosomal RNA", at positions 354 to 796 of the family's 1533-position model. The record is from RNAcentral.